This 378-nucleotide ribosomal RNA is filed under the name uncultured eukaryote. RNAcentral describes it as "partial 18S ribosomal RNA". It matches the Rfam family "Eukaryotic small subunit ribosomal RNA", at positions 592 to 976 of the family's 1831-position model. The record is from RNAcentral.
CAAUAGCGUAUAUUAAAGUUGUUGCAGUUAAAAAGCUCGUAGUUGAAACUUGGGCCUGGCUGGCGGGUCCGCCUCACCGCGUGCACUCGUCCGGCCGGGCCUUCCUUCUGAAGAACCUCAUGCCCUUCACUGGGCGUGCUGGGGAAUCAGGACUUUUACUUUGAAAAAAUUAGAGUGUUCAAAGCAGGCCUUUGCUCGAAUACGUUAGCAUGGAAUAAUAAAAUAGGGCGUGCGUUUCUAUUUUGUUGGUUUCUAGAGACGCCGCAAUGAUUAACAGGAACAGUCGGGGGCAUCAGUAUUCAGUUGUCAGAGGUGAAAUUCUUGGAUUUACUGAAGACUAACUACUGCGAAAGCAUUUGCCAAGGAUGUUUUCAUUAA